GACGAACGCUGGCGGCGUGCUUAACACAUGCAAGUCGAGCGGUAAGGCCCUUUCGGGGGUACACGAGCGGCGAACGGGUGAGUAACACGUGGGUGACCUGCCCUCAGCUCUGGGAUAAGCCUGGGAAACCGGGUCUAAUACUGGAUAUGACUCCAUGACGCAUGUUGUGGGGUGGAAAGCCUUGUGCGGCUGAGGAUGGGCCCGCGGCCUAUCAGCUUUGUUGGUGGGGGUGA
This 233-nucleotide ribosomal RNA is filed under the name uncultured bacterium. RNAcentral describes it as "partial 16S ribosomal RNA". It matches the Rfam family "Bacterial small subunit ribosomal RNA", at positions 28 to 261 of the family's 1533-position model. The record is from RNAcentral.